UGGUGUGUGACUUUGAUCAACCUUCCA
RNAcentral lists this non-coding RNA (27 nucleotides) under Rattus norvegicus (Norway rat). The record is from RNAcentral. Lineage: Eukaryota; Metazoa; Chordata; Mammalia; Rodentia; Muridae.